AUCCGGUUACAUUGUAAGUGUCACA
Molecule: non-coding RNA, 25 nt
Filed under: Arabidopsis thaliana (thale cress)
Lineage: Eukaryota; Viridiplantae; Streptophyta; Magnoliopsida; Brassicales; Brassicaceae
Source: RNAcentral